RNAcentral lists this ribosomal RNA (504 nucleotides) under uncultured Gemmatimonadota bacterium. RNAcentral describes it as "bacterial SSU rRNA". It matches the Rfam family "Bacterial small subunit ribosomal RNA", at positions 9 to 489 of the family's 1533-position model. The record is from RNAcentral. Lineage: Bacteria; Pseudomonadati; Gemmatimonadota.
GAGUUUGAUCCUGGCUCAGGACGAACGCUGGCGGCGUGCUUAACACAUGCAAGUCGCACGAGGACGGGAGCUUGCUCCCGAGCCGAGUGGCGGACGGGUGAGUAACACGUGACCAACCUGUCCUAGGGUGAGGGACAACCUGGGGAAACCCGGGCUAAUACCGCAUGACGUCUCGAGGUCGCAUGGCCAUGAGAUCAAAGAGGGCCUCUGCUUGCAAGCUCUCGCCCUGGGAGGGGGUCGCGGCGUAUCAGCUAGUUGGUGAGGUAACGGCUCACCAAGGCUACGACGCGUAGCGGGUCUGAGAGGACGACCCGCCUCAUUGGGACUGAGAUACGGCCCAGACUCCUACGGGAGGCAGCAGUGGGGAAUAUUGCGCAAUGGACGAAAGUCUGACGCAGCGACGCCGCGUGUGGGAGGAAGCCUUUCGGGGUGUAAACCACUGUCAGGAGGGAAGAAACUCGCCGGCCCGAACAGGAACGGCGAUUGACGGUACCUCCAAAGGAA